Molecule: ribosomal RNA, 404 nt
Filed under: uncultured bacterium
Lineage: Bacteria
Description: bacterial SSU rRNA
Rfam family: Bacterial small subunit ribosomal RNA
Source: RNAcentral
UGGGGAAUAUUGCGCAAUGGGGGAAACCCUGACGCAGCAACGCCGCGUGAAGGAUGAAGGUCUUCGGAUUGUAAACUUCUUUGAUGAGGGAAGAAAAAAUGACGGUACUUCAAAAACAAGCCACGGCUAACUACGUGCCAGCAGCCGCGGUAAUACGUAGGUGGCGAGCGUUGUCCGGAAUUACUGGGUGUAAAGGGCGUGUAGGCGGGAUUGCAAGUCAGAUGUGAAAUUCCGGGGCUUAACCUCGGCGCUGCAUCUGAAACUGUGAUGCUUGAGUGCUGGAGAGGAGAGUGGUAUUCCUAGUGUAGCGGUGAAAUGCGUAGAUAUUAGGAGGAACACCAGUGGCGAAGGCGACUAUCUGGACAGUAACUGACGCUGAGGCGCGAAAGCGUGGGGAGCAAACA